AUUGAACGCUGGCGGAAUGCUUUACACAUGCAAGUCGAACGGCAGCACGGACUUCGGUCUGGUGGCGAGUGGCGAACGGGUGAGUAAUGUAUCGGAACGUGCCCAGUCGUGGGGGAUAACGUAGUGAAAAUUACGCUAAUACCGCAUACGAUCUAUGGAUGAAAGCGGGGGAUCGCAAGACCUCGCGCGAUUGGAGCGGCCGAUAUCAGAUUAGGUAGUUGGUGGGGUAAAGGCCCACCAAGCCAACGAUCUGUAGCUGGUCUGAGAGGACGACCAGCAACACUGGAACUGAGACACGGUCCAGGCGCCUACGGGAGGCAGCAGUGGGGAAUUUUGGACAAUGGGCGAAAGCCUGAUCCAGCCAUUCCGCGUGCAGGAUGAAGGCCCGCGGGUUGUAAACUGCUUUUGUACAGAACGAAAAGGUUUCUACUAAUACUAGGAGCUCAUGACGGUACUGUAAGAAUAAGCACCGGCUAACUACGUGCCAGCCGCCGCCGUAA
Molecule: ribosomal RNA, 500 nt
Filed under: uncultured bacterium
Lineage: Bacteria
Description: partial 16S ribosomal RNA
Rfam family: Bacterial small subunit ribosomal RNA
Source: RNAcentral